This 303-nucleotide unclassified non-coding RNA is filed under the name plant metagenome. RNAcentral describes it as "partial contains 5.8S ribosomal RNA, internal transcribed spacer 2, and large subunit ribosomal RNA". The stretch from base 1 to 105 matches the Rfam family "5.8S ribosomal RNA", at positions 50 to 154 of the family's 154-position model. The record is from RNAcentral.
GAAAUGCGAUAAGUAAUGUGAAUUGCAGAAUUCAGUGAAUCAUCGAAUCUUUGAACGCACAUUGCGCCCGCCAGUAUUCUGGCGGGCAUGCCUGUUCGAGCGUCAUUUCAACCAUCAAGCCCCCGGCUUGUGUUGGGGACCUGCGGCUGCCCGCGGGCCCUGAAAACCAGUGGCGGGCUCGCUGUCACACCGAGCGUAGUAGCAUACAUCUCGCUCAGGGCGUGCUGCGGGUUCCGGCCGUUAAAAGCCUUUUUUACCCAAGGUUGACCUCGGAUCAGGUAGGAAGACCCGCUGAACUUAAGC